AUGUUACUCCUUGUUUUGGCAUUUAUUGUUGUUGCUCACACUGCAGAUGCUGCUGACAGCAUUGAACCAGACCAACCCAACUUAUCUUCAACAGAAGGAAGCAGCAUCACACUGUCUUGCACAUAUACAGGAUCACCAUAUAAUCUCCACUGGUAUCAUCAAAAACCUGGAUCAAAACCAGAGUUUCUGGGGCUGAUUAUGAGAUCCACAAAACAGACCACAUAUGCUAAACCAGCUGACCAACGUCUGUCUAUAAAUCUUAAUACAGAAGAUAAGAAAGUCGAGCUGAAGAUCUCCUCUGCUGCUGUAACAGAUUCUGCACUGUCUUACUGCGCCAUGGUGCCCACAGUAACAGCAACUCCAGUGAUGCUGCACAAAAACUCUUUCAUGUGA
Molecule: non-coding RNA, 393 nt
Organism: Trichomycterus rosablanca
Lineage: Eukaryota; Metazoa; Chordata; Actinopteri; Siluriformes; Trichomycteridae
Source: the annotation of a RefSeq genome assembly